RNAcentral lists this ribosomal RNA (239 nucleotides) under uncultured bacterium. RNAcentral describes it as "partial 16S ribosomal RNA". It matches the Rfam family "Bacterial small subunit ribosomal RNA", at positions 15 to 235 of the family's 1533-position model. The record is from RNAcentral.
GAUCCUGGCUCAGGAUGAACGCUGGCGGCGUGCUUAACACAUGCAAGUCGAACGGAGAGCCCUAGAAGGAGUUUUCGGACAACGGACAGGGUUUCUUAGUGGCGGACGGGUGAGUAACGCGUGAGCAACCUGCCUUGGAGUGGGGAAUAACACAUGGAAACGUGUGCUAAUACCGCAUAACGUAUCUGGGUCGCAUGGCUCUGGAUACCAAAGAUUUAUCGCUCUGAGAUGGACUCGCG